ACGCCUGGUUCGGAUCCGACCCGUUUCGCUACCGUCGUCGCCGAGCCGCUCGAGCGCGGCUUCGGCCAGACCCUCGGCAACGCGCUGCGCCGCGUGCUGCUGUCGUCGCUGCAGGGCGCUGCCGUGCAGUCGGUUCACAUCGAUGGCGUGCUGCACGAGUUCUCCUCGAUCGCCGGUGUGCGCGAGGACGUGACCGACAUCGUGCUGAACGUGAAGGACAUC
RNAcentral lists this unclassified non-coding RNA (222 nucleotides) under Hevea brasiliensis (rubber tree). The record is from RNAcentral. Lineage: Eukaryota; Viridiplantae; Streptophyta; Magnoliopsida; Malpighiales; Euphorbiaceae.